Molecule: ribosomal RNA, 292 nt
Filed under: uncultured bacterium
Lineage: Bacteria
Description: partial 16S ribosomal RNA
Source: RNAcentral
GGACUACAGGGGUAUCUAAUCCUGUUUGCUCCCCUUGCUCUCGCGCCUCAGCGUCUGGUUAAAGCUAGAAAACCGCUUUCGCCACAGGUGUUCUUCCACAUAUCUACGCAUUUCACCGCUACACGUGGAAUUCCGUUCUCUCCGCCUUUCCUCAAGGUAUACAGUUUCACAUGCCGCUCCGGUUUUGAGCUCCGGAAUUUCACAUCUGACUUGUAUUCCCGCCUACGCGCCCUUUACGCCCAAUAAUUCCGAUUAAUGCUCGCACCCUCCGUAUUACCGCGGCUGCUGGCAC